RNAcentral lists this ribosomal RNA (315 nucleotides) under uncultured eukaryote. RNAcentral describes it as "partial large subunit ribosomal RNA". It matches the Rfam family "Eukaryotic large subunit ribosomal RNA", at positions 40 to 350 of the family's 3401-position model. The record is from RNAcentral.
AUAUCAAUAAGCGGAGGAAAAGAAACUAACAAGGAUUCCCCUAGUAACGGCGAGUGAAGAGGGAAGAGCUCAAAUUUGAAAUCUGGCGUGCUCAGUGCGUCCGAGUUGUAAUCUACAGAGUCGUUUUCCGUGCCGGACCGUGUCCAAGUUCCUUGGAACAGGAUAUCAAAGAGGGUGACAAUCCCGUACUUGACACGACCACCGGUGCCUGUGAUACGUCCUCUACGAGUCGAGUUGUUUGGGAAUGCAGCUCAAAAUGGGUGGUAUAUUUCAUCUAAAGCUAAAUACCGGCCAGAGACCGAUAGCGCACAAGUA